RNAcentral lists this transfer RNA (49 nucleotides) under Duttaphrynus scaber (Ferguson's toad). RNAcentral's name for it is "partial tRNA-Val". The record is from RNAcentral. Lineage: Eukaryota; Metazoa; Chordata; Amphibia; Anura; Bufonidae.
GCAUCUCGCUUACACCGAGAAAAUGUCCGUGAAAACCAGACUACUUCGA